GACGGGGGAUGCAAGCGUUAUCCGGAAUCACUGGGCGUAAAGCGUCUGUCGGUGGUGAUGCAAGUCACUGGUGCAAAACUCUGGCUCAACCGGAGGAAAGCCAGUGAAACUGCAUGGCUAGAGUGUGGGAGAGGUAGAAGGAAUUCCCUGAGUAGCGGUGAAAUGCGUAGAUACAGGGAAGAACACCGGAGGCGAAAGCGUUCUACUGGAACACAACUGACACUGAGAGGCGAAAGCUAGGGGAGCGUAUGGG
This 253-nucleotide ribosomal RNA is filed under the name uncultured bacterium. RNAcentral's name for it is "partial 16S ribosomal RNA". It matches the Rfam family "Bacterial small subunit ribosomal RNA", at positions 524 to 776 of the family's 1533-position model. The record is from RNAcentral.